This 501-nucleotide ribosomal RNA is filed under the name uncultured bacterium. RNAcentral's name for it is "partial 16S ribosomal RNA". It matches the Rfam family "Bacterial small subunit ribosomal RNA", at positions 30 to 523 of the family's 1533-position model. The record is from RNAcentral.
AUUGAACGCUGGUGGCAGGCUUAACACAUGCAAGUCGAGCGGGGGAAGGUAGCUUGCUACUGGACCUAGCGGCGGACGGGUGAGUAAUGCUUAGGAAUCUGCCUAUUAGUGGGGGACAACAUCUCGAAAGGGAUGCUAAUACCGCAUACGUCCUACGGGAGAAAGCAGGGGAUCUUCGGACCUUGCGCUAAUAGAUGAGCCUAAGUCGGAUUAGCUAGUUGGUGGGGUAAAGGCCUACCAAGGCGACGAUCUGUAGCGGGUCUGAGAGGAUGAUCCGCCACGCUGGGAAUGGAACACGGCCCAGACUCCUACGGGAGGCAGCAGUGGGGAAUAUUGGACAAUGGGGGGAACCCUGAUCCAGCCAUGCCGCGUGUGUGAAGAAGGCCUUAUGGUUGUAAAGCACUUUAAGCGAGGAGGAGGCUACUCUAGUUAAUACCUAGGGAUAGUGGACGUUACUCGCAGAAUAAGCACCGGCUAACUCUGUGCCAGCCGCCGCCGUAA